Molecule: unclassified non-coding RNA, 538 nt
Filed under: unidentified
Description: sequence contains 28S rRNA gene
Rfam family: Eukaryotic large subunit ribosomal RNA
Source: RNAcentral
GGGAAGAGCUCAAAUUUAUAAUCUGGCACCUUCGGUGUCCGAGUUGUAAUCUCUAGAAAUGUUUUCCGCGUUGGACCGCACACAAGUCUGUUGGAAUACAGCGGCAUAGUGGUGAGACCCCCGUAUAUGGUGCGGACGCCCAGCGCUUUGUGAUACAUUUUCGAAGAGUCGAGUUGUUUGGGAAUGCAGCUCAAAUUGGGUGGUAAAUUCCAUCUAAAGCUAAAUAUUGGCGAGAGACCGAUAGCGAACAAGUACCGUGAGGGAAAGAUGAAAAGCACUUUGGAAAGAGAGUUAACAGUACGUGAAAUUGUUGGAAGGGAAACGCUUGAAGUCAGACUUGCUUGCCGAGCAAUCGGUUUGCAGGCCAGCAUCAGUUUUCCGGGAUGGAUAAUGGUAAAGAGAAGGUAGCAGUUUCGGCUGUGUUAUAGCUCUCUGCUGGAUACAUCUUGGGGGACUGAGGAACGCAGUGUGCCUUUGGCGGGGGUUUCGACCUCUUCACACUUAGGAUGCUGGUGGAAUGGCUUUAAACGACCCGUCU